AUUGGGCAAAAUUCUGAAAAAGUAGUUUCGGCAGAAUUAAUUUUAAUUUGGAUAAUUAAUUUUGGUUAAAAACUGUGAGGGUUAGACUGAGUUUAAAUAAAAAAUAAUUUUCUGAAAUAAUUUUGUAAAAUUGUUUGGCAAAAAAAAUUGAUAUGUGCAUAUAAUAAUUUUUUUAUCAAAGUUUUAUUUUAAAUAAUUUAAAAUUAGAAUUUAAAUAAAAAAUAAAUUUGAAUUAAAAUUUUAAAUUUUAAAUUUGCAUAAAAAUUUAAAAUUUGACAUUUUAAAUUUAUUUUU
RNAcentral lists this long non-coding RNA (294 nucleotides) under Ananas comosus (pineapple). RNAcentral describes it as "long non-coding RNA (ACOM_LNC032702)". The record is from RNAcentral. Lineage: Eukaryota; Viridiplantae; Streptophyta; Magnoliopsida; Poales; Bromeliaceae.